Molecule: transfer RNA, 76 nt
Filed under: candidate division WS2 bacterium
Lineage: Bacteria
Description: tRNA-Lys
Rfam family: tRNA
About the family: Transfer RNA (tRNA) molecules are approximately 80 nucleotides in length. Their secondary structure includes four short double-helical elements and three loops (D, anti-codon, and T loops). Further hydrogen bonds mediate the characteristic L-shaped molecular structure. tRNAs have two regions of fundamental functional importance: the anti-codon, which is responsible for specific mRNA codon recognition, and the 3' end, to which the tRNAs corresponding amino acid is attached (by aminoacyl-tRNA synthetases). tRNAs cope with the degeneracy of the genetic code in two manners: having more than one tRNA (with a specific anti-codon) for a particular amino acid; and 'wobble' base-pairing, i.e. permitting non-standard base-pairing at the 3rd anti-codon position.
Source: RNAcentral
GGGUCAUUAGCUCAGUUGGUAGAGCAGCUGACUCUUAAUCAGCGAGCCGCAGGUUCGAGUCCUGCAUGACCCACCA